Molecule: small nucleolar RNA, 85 nt
Filed under: Blastobotrys adeninivorans
Lineage: Eukaryota; Fungi; Ascomycota; Dipodascomycetes; Dipodascales; Trichomonascaceae
Source: RNAcentral
AUGGCGAUGAUUAUCAAAUUCAAUUGUUCCUACUGAGAGAAAUAUCUGAAUGAGAACAUCUUCGUUUCAAUCCCAUAUGAGCCCA